Molecule: ribosomal RNA, 252 nt
Filed under: uncultured bacterium
Lineage: Bacteria
Description: partial 16S ribosomal RNA
Rfam family: Bacterial small subunit ribosomal RNA
Source: RNAcentral
GACAGAGGGUGCAAACGUUGCUCGGAAUUACUGGGCGUAAAGGGCGUGUGAGGCGGGAGCAAGUCGGGCGUGAAAUCCCCAGGCUCAACCUGGGAACUGCACUCGAAACUGCCUUUCUUGAGUGUCGGAGAGGAAAGCGGAAUUCCUGGUGUAGAGGUGAAAUUCGUAGAUAUCAGGAGGAACACCAGUGGCGAAGGCGGCUUUCUGGACGAUAACUGACGCUGAGACGCGAAAGCGUGGGGAGCAAACAGG